RNAcentral lists this long non-coding RNA (1265 nucleotides) under Homo sapiens (human). RNAcentral describes it as "HSALNT0390050". Lineage: Eukaryota; Metazoa; Chordata; Mammalia; Primates; Hominidae. The record is from RNAcentral.
GGAGAAUCGCUUGAACCUAGGAGGCGGAGGUUGCAAUGAGCCGAGAUCGCACCACUGCACUCCAGCCUGGGCGACAGAGCAAGACUCCGUCUCAAAAAAAGAAAAGUCUUGACUUUAUUUGUAGGGGCUCAGGGGAAGAUAAGAAACAUCUGCUUUAAACAUCCUAUCAAUCUUGUGAUAUAGAAUGUAAUGUAAACACUCAACCCACCCCCACAGCCACAAAGGGCCUAUCCAGAGACUUCUUCUAAAGCAAAGAUACCACCUUUUUUUUUUUUUUCAUUUUUUUCUGGACAAAUUUUAAAUAAACCAGUCUUUUUCUCAAAGGAAAACUAAAAAGCCCACCAGCCCAUCAGUCCCCUCCCUCCAACCCACCCGUCUUUAUCACUUUUUGAAAAAAAUAAGCCCCAAACAACAACAAAAACCCACACAAACCAACCCAGAAACUGCUAACCUGAACGCCAGAGAUUUUUGGCUGCGGGAGUGAAUAGACUGCAGGGAAAGAAGGGAAGAGAUGCUAGGAGGUCUCAAACUCCCCAGAUUUGCAAACAAGUGCUCAAAGGCGAAUGCUUCCCCUAGACAUGAAGGGAGGCAGGAUCAGUACUCCUGGUGGGGUGUAUGUUGGUGGGGGCUGUUUCAAAACACACUUCAAAAAGCAUUUUUGGGCCACUGGAAGCACUUGGUGCAGCGAAUUGAAAAGAAGAGAAGCCAGACAGGAGAAAGAUCUUCCAGCCUGCAGGGGAAUGGGCCAGGGGGUGGAAGCCAUUCCUCACCGGAUCUCUGCCCUCUCCCCACCAGCACACCCCGACCCCGAUUUUUUUUUCCACGUCUUCAUCUCUGUUGGGACUUUUCCAAGAGUGAGUGAAGAAGACAGGACAAAUGAGUAGGGAAAGAAAAGGGGGAAGGAAACAAAACGAAUCCAAGUCCUGUUCAAAAAUAUCCAACGGCUUCCACAGGCCCAGCGUCAGAGAGGAGGCUCACAAAUUUGGCUUUUAUAUUAGUUGAAUGGAACAAACUCCUAACGACUCAAAGCCAACAAAAACAGCGCUCAGGCUGGGUGCCUCUCCCAUCAGGCCCAGCCCUGCCAUAUCACCAAAAAACUCCAAAAGUGGGGCGGGUUUUGAAGGGCACUUAAGAAAGAGAACCCUCCCCCCAACUACACUCCCCAACACACACACACCUCAUUCUUCAGUCCUGGCGCCCACACCCCUGUUUUUUUUUCUCCUUUUUUCUUUUAAAUAGAAAAUAUAUAUAAUUAAAUUUACAAA